This 372-nucleotide ribosomal RNA is filed under the name uncultured organism. Its description in RNAcentral is "bacterial SSU rRNA". It matches the Rfam family "Bacterial small subunit ribosomal RNA", at positions 526 to 896 of the family's 1533-position model. The record is from RNAcentral.
CGUAGGGUGCGAGCGUUAAUCGGAAUUACUGGGCGUAAAGUGUGCGCAGGCGGCUCCGCAAGUCGAGUGUGAAAUCCCCGAGCUUAACUUGGGAAUUGCGCUCGAAACUACGGAACUGGAGUGUGGCAGAGGAAGGUGGAAUUCCACGUGUAGCGGUGAAAUGCGUAGAGAUGUGGAGGAACACCGAUGGCGAAGGCAGCCUUCUGGGCCAACACUGACGCUCAAGCACGAAAGCGUGGGGAGCAAACAGGAUUAGAUACCCUGGUAGUCCACGCCCUAAACGAUGAUGACUAGUUGUUGGAGGAGUUAAAUCCUUUAGUAACGCAGCUAACGCGUGAAGUCAUCCGCCUGGGGAGUACGGUCGCAAGAUUA